AAUUACAUAUAUGUCCCCGCAAACAUAGUAAAUUACAAAUGUAUCCUUAUAUUUUCAGAAAUAUGUCCCUCUGGUUUUAUUAUAGUUAGAGAACAGUUAGAAAAUUGUUUAUAUUUUUAAUUUUGUCAUCACAAAUAUGUUCAUCCAAAAAUUAUAACAGUAUAAUAUAAGAGGAGUAAAAAUGUCAAAAAUUAAUCCUGUAAAGUAUUUUACAUAUGGUUAAUUAAAUUUUUCUAACGGGUUCUAACGGUAAAGAACAUAUCUGAAAAUAUUAGAACUUUUACAGGAAUAAAACUUUAUGGCAGUGUUUGGUUGAGGGAUAAAGUGGGAAUAAACCAUUUUAUCCCUCUAAUUCAUCCAAACACUAAAAGAGGGGAUGAGUUUAUUUAAUCCCCCUCUUAACGGGUUAUUCUAGAAUAACCCGUUAGCAGUGUUUGGUUGAGGGAUAAAGUGGGAAUAAACCAUUUUAUCCCUCUAAUUCAUCCAAACACUAAAAGAGGGGAUGAGUUUAUUUAAUCCCCCUCUUAACGGGUUAUUCUAGAAUAACCCGUUAAGAGUGGAAAAUUGUUGUUCCACCAUUUUGGUGGAAUAACAAUUUCUUCUCUUUAUUCCUCUACUAAUUUAAUAAUAAAAUAUUAUUAAUUAAUGUAUUAUAUAAUAUUUUAUUAAUUAAUUAACUAAAUUAAUAAUGAACUAAGUUAGUAAUAAAAUAUUGGCUAAAUUAAUAACUAUUUAUUAAAGUUUAAAAAUUUUAAUUCUAAUAUAAAGAAAGGGAUAAUACCAUUAUUUUUUAUUUAUAACUACCCACUUUAAUUCUUAUUCCAUCUUAUCUAACAAAACGCUAUUUUUUUAUUAUCAGGAAUAACCCAAUUUUCAUCCAAACGUAAAAUUGAUCUAAUCCUCGUUUAUACCUCAAUUUAUACCUAUUCCUGGAAUAGUCACUUUUUGCUUAUUCCCGAACCAAACGAUACGCAAUUGACCCUUUUUAAUAACUAUUUGCGGGGAUUUAUAUGCAAUUGACCCUUUUUAUUUUUGAACAAAUUUUUUUUGCUUGGUCCCUGUAUAGUAAUAUUAUUAUAUACUAUUUUAUAGUUUGAAUGUAUUUAUAAAAUAUAGAACAAGCUUUUAAUAUAUUUUUAAUCUAAUAAAAUAUUUUAAAUUUAUUUUAAUUUUUAUAUUAUAUAUUAGUAGUUAAAUAAUAUAUGAUUGCUAUAUAUUUUUAGUAAUUUGAUGUAUCUAGCUUAAUACUUUGAUAAUAAUGAAUAAAUAGUAAACUUAACUUAAAUUGAUUUGAAUUAAAGUUAAAUUAAAUUUAGAUAAAAAUUGUUUUACUAUAUUUUUAAAAAUCUGCGGAGUUUUCUGAGGUGAUUUUUUUUUGGCCGAGGUGGAACAACGACGGAGCUGGAAU
RNAcentral lists this long non-coding RNA (1408 nucleotides) under Ananas comosus (pineapple). RNAcentral describes it as "long non-coding RNA (ACOM_LNC027208)". Lineage: Eukaryota; Viridiplantae; Streptophyta; Magnoliopsida; Poales; Bromeliaceae. The record is from RNAcentral.